AAGUAAGAAGCGAUCAAUUGCAAUCAGUUUCGACCUGACCUUAGAUAAGAAGAACUUAUCCUUAUUUA
RNAcentral lists this transfer RNA (68 nucleotides) under Porotermes adamsoni (Australian dampwood termite). RNAcentral's name for it is "tRNA-Arg". The record is from RNAcentral. Lineage: Eukaryota; Metazoa; Arthropoda; Insecta; Blattodea; Termopsidae.